This 253-nucleotide ribosomal RNA is filed under the name uncultured bacterium. RNAcentral's name for it is "partial 16S ribosomal RNA". It matches the Rfam family "Bacterial small subunit ribosomal RNA", at positions 524 to 776 of the family's 1533-position model. The record is from RNAcentral.
UACGGAGGGUGCAAGCGUUGUUCGGAAUCACUGGGCGUAAAGCGCGUGUAGGCGGCAUCCUAAGUCUGAUGUGAAAGCCCGGGGCUUACCCUCGGAAGUGCAUCGGAUACUGGGAAGCUAGAGUACCGGAGAGGAGGGUGGAAUUCCUGGUGUAGCGGUGAAAUGCGUAGAUAUCAGGAGGAACACCGGUGGCGAAGGCGGCCCUCUGGACGGAUACUGACGCUGAGACGCGAAAGCGUGGGGAGCAAACAGG